GAUGAACGCUAGCUACAGGCUUAACACAUGCAAGUCGAGGGGCAGCGGGAUUGAAGCUUGCUUCAAUUGCCGGCGACCGGCGCACGGGUGAGUAGCGCGUAUCCAACCUUCCGUACACUCAGGGAUAGCCUUUCGAAAGAAAGAUUAAUACCUGAUGGUAUCUUAAGCACACAUGUAAUUAAGAUUAAAGAUUUAUCGGUGUACGAUGGGGAUGCGUUCCAUUAGGUAGUAGGCGGGGUAACGGCCCACCUAGCCAACGAUGGAUAGGGGUUCUGAGAGGAAGGUCCCCCACAUUGGAACUGAGACACGGUCCAAACUCCUACGGGAGGCAGCAGUGAGGAAUAUUGGUCAAUGGACGAGAGUCUGAACCAGCCAAGUAGCGUGAAGGAUGAAGGUCCUACGGAUUGUAAACUUCUUUUAAUACGGGAAUAAAGUUUCCUACGUGUAGGAUUUUGUAUGUACCGUAUGAAUAAGCAUCGGCUAACUCCGUGCCAGC
This 496-nucleotide ribosomal RNA is filed under the name uncultured bacterium. RNAcentral's name for it is "bacterial SSU rRNA". It matches the Rfam family "Bacterial small subunit ribosomal RNA", at positions 28 to 512 of the family's 1533-position model. The record is from RNAcentral.